AGAGAUUUCUUGACAAGUCUAAAUAUCGAAGACCUUUUAGUGAAGCCAGAGAAGAUGGUAUGGUUCCAUUGAAGGAGUUUCCUUGCAAAUAGAGGUAUUCUAAGACUGUGCAUUCACCAAUGGUUCCAGGAAUGUUACCAGAUAGAUGAUUCUCUGAGACAUCUAGCUUGUUGACACUUUUUAGCUUACCUACUUCUCUUGGUAAGCCACCACUCAAUGAGUUUUUUGACAAGUUCAGUAAGUUUGUUAAAGAGGAAAGACUAAAGAGUUCAAUGGGUAUGGUUCCUCGAAGAUUGUUUUGUGAAAGGUCUACGUAUUGUAGCUUUUGGCAAUUUCCUAUGCUUGAAGGAAUAUUUCCUUCUAACAUAUUAUCUCCUAUAGUCAAAUGAUACAAUUGACUGAGGUUGCCUAUGAUGGAUGGUAUCUCUCCUGAAAACUUAUUUCCAUCCAAUGAUAAUUUUUGCAUUCUCUCAAACUUCCCAAAAGUAGUAGGAAUAACUCCUUCAAAGUGACAAUUGUCCAGGCUCAAGAGAAUUAAGCCAAUUAGAUUUCCUAACUCUGGAGGAAUUUUUCCUGAUAUCUGAUUACCCCCAACAUAUAGUUGUCUCAGUUGAGUGGAUAAAUUUCCUACAAAAGUUGGUAAAUUACCUCCAAAAUUAUUAUAGGGUAUAGAAAUCGCUUGUAGUUUACUACAGUUUGUCAAGGAUUUUAAAAACUCUAAAUCCUUAGUUGAAUUGUCACCUAAAUUGUUUAAUUCUAGAUUUAGCACUUGAAGAUCAGGUAACUUUCCUAGACUUGGAACUUGUCCGACCAAAUGGUUUUGUGCUAAUUCUAGUUUUCGUAGGGCAGAAGCAUUUGCAAUUGAAAUAGGGAUUGUACCUGAGAAUUGAUUUCUUCCUAUUAAAAAAUAUUGUAGAUUUGAGAACGUGUUGAACAUAUUGGGUGGAAGAGAUCCAUUAAAUUCAUUGAAUCCAGCUCCUAUAUAAAUAAGAGAUGAUAUAUUAGAAAGACACGGUGGAAAUGUUCCAUAUAGUCUGUUCUCAAGUAUUUCCAUAAGUAUCAAUUUUUUGAGGCUGCACAUUUCUUGUGGAAUAUUUCCCUCUAAGUCAUUUAUACCCAUUAUAAGAGUUGUUAGAGAUGAAAGAUUUCCGAUGAAUGAUGGAAUUCUUCCUGUUAAAUUGUUUUCUGAAAUCCACAACGUCUUAAGCUUAUGAAGAGAGCUGAUUCCAAUUGGUAAUUUACCAAUCAAAUGAUUUCCAUACAAGUAUAAGCCUUUAAGAUUGGACCAACUUGUCAAGUUUGUAGGAAUCUCUCCUGUCAUGUAGUUAUUGUUGAGAGAGAGUGCCUGCAAUCGGAACAACCGACUAAGUUCGUUUGGGAUUUUUCCAAAGAAACUAUUGUUUGCAAGGUUGAGAUUUCCCAAAAAAGAGAGAUUGCCAACAUGAGGAGGUAUGAAUCCAUGUAACUUAUAUCCUUCUAAGUUUAACUGUGUAACUCUUUGAUUUAUGGGACUACAUGUAAUUCCAUGCCAAUUACAGUAGUGAGUUGAAAUAUUCCAAGAGGCCAAGAUUCCAUAUGGGUCAUUUGAUAUUGAUUCUUUGAAUUUCAGCAAUGCCAAGUUAUCUGUCUCAUUUCCUAAGGGAGAGGUAGUUGUGUUUUGGAUGAAGUUGAAAGCAAAGAGAAGAGAUAAACAAAGUGAAAAUGUUGGAAACAUGAUAUGAAAAGGUUUUGAGGAACAAGGGAUUAUUUUAGAUGGUGAAAUUAAUUUGAAUAUGCUGUGUAGUUAUUACUUAUUAUAUACUGUUUUGUCAGUUGAGUGGGGAAAAAAAAGAUUCUUCCUAUUAUGUGUUUGCUUGAGUGGAAAGAAAGUGGGAGGAAAGAAAAUUAGGAAAAUCAAUGAACUUGGACUAAAGUUAGUCCAAGUUCAUUCAUUAGUUCUCCAUAAUUUUCUUUCCUCUCCCUUUCUUUCCACUCAACCAAACACAUUAGUUAAAAAAAAUUCUUCCUCCUUUAGUAAAAAAAAAAAUUCUUUCUCCUAUCAUUUUAAACGAAUGAGUUAGGUAGUUUUUUUAUUUUAUUUAUUUAUUUAUUUAUUUUUGGGGGUUUUUAGUUUUUUUGAAGCAUGGUGUGUUUUUUUUUUNNNNNNNNNNNNNNNNNNNNNNNNNNNNNNNNNNNNNNNGUGAAGCAUGGGUGUGUUUUUAGUUGACGAUGUAUUUUAUUUUUUAAUGUUUAUUUAUACAGGAAAUUUUUAAUGUGGACCACUGAUCAUUGAUUAGUUUUUAAAAAAAUUUAAAAUUUCAACGAUGAUAUAUAUUGUUGUUUGAAAGUAUAAGGGGAUGUAUUAGAUUGAGAUUUCGAAAAACUAUUUAGACAAAAGAGUUUUGAAGAUUUUCAAAAAAUUUAUUGUUUUGACAAAAAUGUUUUGAAGAUUUUAAAAUAAUUUAUUGACUUUGUGGGAUUUUUAAAGAUUUUUUUAAAACAUUUUUUAAAUCGAGAUUCAUUCUAAGUGAUUUCUAAUACAAAUUUUUAAGAUUUCACGGUAUUUUAUGGAUUUUUAAGAUUUCAAAAGAUUAACGAAUUUCAAACAAAAAUAUAAAAAAGUUACAAAAGUGAAUUUAUUUUAAUAUAGUUCACCGCAGUUUUGUACAUUUUCUUUGAAUUUCUUCUUUGUUUCUACUUUUUUUGUUUAUAUUUUUCUUUCUGAUUGUUGCCUUGGAAUAAAAAAGUGAGGUUAAAUAACAAUAUAUAUAUAUAUAUAUAUAUAUAUAUAUAUAUAUAUGUGUGUGUGUGGUUUGCUAAUUUUGACCCACCUAAAAACAUGAAGGUCUAAAUUAGUAAGAUGCACAUUUUCACUUUGGGCAAAAAAUCUUUGACGUUAAGUUAUUUUACACUAAAAAAUUGAGGGUUAAUUAGGUAAAUUUUAUUAAAUGUUGUGCACUCAUUUGCUAAUUUAGACCCACUUAAUUAUAAAUAGGAAAAUGCUAAACAUCCCGAAAAUUAUUUCACGAGAGUUUACCGAAUGAUGUGGCACCGCAUGUUUUAAAGUUUGGCUCCAUCUCUCUCCAAUUUUAUUUUUUUACGGCAACAUCUCUCUCCAAUUGUACACUAUCUUUGCCGACAAAAAUGGACUCACCGUCAGACCAAAUAACAUUGCAUUUUUUUAAACCAAUUUGAGAAGUGAAUGUCAUGGAAGGGUUAGUUGUGUACUAGUGUUUCUUCCUUCUUUACUACUAUAUUGUCGAGGUGCUUGUUCUUUCAUCGUAUAGCUUCAUAACUUUAUCAUGUUGGUUUUUCUGCUGAACUUUCUUAUUUUGGAGUUUGAUUUGUUGGCUUGACUUCCAAUUCAAUACAUUGAGAAGAAAAAAUUAGGGGCGACAAAGCAGAGUUCAUAGAAAAAUAUAUAAAUAAAAAGAGAGAGGUCUGGUAGAAUCAAGGACUGGUAAAUCUUUGCGUAUGAACAUUUGUAUGUGGUGUAGGUGAAUUCGUUGUUCAUUUUCCUGAUGUAUAUUGGCCUAUGUUAUGCCCAAUAAUCAUUAAAGUUCCUUCUUUUUCUGUUUCAACAAAAAAUAGAGGUUUUUGGGACAAUAGGUGGUGAUAGAAAAGCAGAGCAUAGACCACAAAGGCAAGUAAUACGACAAGUGGUUACAAUAAUUUUAUUUUAAUAAAAAUUAAAAUAAAUAUAUAUAAUAAAUUAAACUGCUUUCGGGAUGAAUUCGGGAGAAAUUCCUUCGGUACAUAUACCAACGCUCUUAUAAAUAUAUGCAAUUUACAUAAACAACCUAAAAAAACAAAAAAUGACAACUUAAGAAAACAUGUUACUCAACUUUGAUAUUUUUCUCUCUUUAAUCAAAACAAAGUACUGUGAAAAUAAAAAUCACUGCGCUUUAUAUUAAUCCAAAAAUUAAUGCCUUUCGUAUAAAAUCUUACAUUGGAUUUUUUUGGUUUUUUUUUUUGUUUUUAUAUAAUUUAAAGUUGAUGUAAUAAUAUCAUUAAUAAUAUUCAGGUGUUAUUAUAAAAAAAAAUAUUCAGGUGCUAUUAUCAUUAAAAAUAUUUUUUUGAAAACCAAAAUGUUGGUAGGAUAAAAAAAAAACUAAAAAAGAAGACAAUCAUUUUUUUUUUACGCAAGAAAAGAAAACAAUCAUUUGUUUAGUUUACAUGAAUAAAUAAUACUGUACGAGUUGGGAAAUUCGGAAACAUGAUCAGUUAUCACGCAACAACUAAUUUUAUUAGGCCACAGGGUAACGGUAGCCUUCUAGUUAAAAUUUAUUUGAAUAGAGAUAAAGGGAUAUUCUUGUUCAAAGUGAAAAUGUGCAUCUUGCUAAUUUUGAUCUUUAUAUUUUUAGGUGGGGCUAAAUUAACAAAUUAUAUAUAUAUAUAUAUAUAUAUUAUGAAAACAUGAUUUUCUUUAUCCCAAAUUUCAUCGAUGGAUAUGAUUGGAGUGAUAAUUGUAGUAAUGUUUUAUGCACAGUGAAUAAAGGAAGAGUCGAAAAUCUAGGAGAAAACCACAUGUCCAGUUAUCUUAAGGUUUGACUAAUUAUUUUUAUUCCCUAAAUUGAAUCUCUGAUCGAGAUUCAAAUUGAACCCUAAAUUUUGAUUUCGUGUCUGCGGUCAUGUUUGGUGAACUUUUUUGCCUUUUCAAGCUUGAUUUUGAAACUUUUUUUGGUGGUGGUACAAAAACAUAACGAAAAAAGAAAAGAAAAGAAAAGAAAAAAAAUAUAAUUCAUUUUAUAGUUUUAAGAUUUGGUCUAGUGGUGAGGGAUUUUGGUAGUAUGUUAUAGGUCCUGGGUUCGAUCCCCAGCUCAUUGUAAACAAAACAAAAAAAGAGAGGAAGAGAGAAGUCUCAUGAAAUCUCAUGAAUUUUGGUGAGUAGGCAUGGCAAUGGGUUGAGGACGGAUUUUGCUGUCCCAAACCCAAUAUAAUAAAGUUUGGGUUUCCCCAAACUCAUCCCAAUUCCAAGCGGGAUUAAAAUGUUUAAUUAGUUAAACAUACCAAAAAUAGAAAUAAAAGAUAAAGUUAAUGUUGAUAAUAUAAUUUUUUACACUUUCAAUGUAUUAAAUUUACAAUUUUCAAAACAUAAUUUCCUUAUUUGAAUGCUUACCUAGUGUCGGGGGGCACCGUUUAACAUUUUUCAAUAUAAUUUUAAUAUAAGCAGGGCNNNNNNNNNNNNNNNNNNNNNNNNNNNNNNNNNNNNNNNNNNNNNNNNNNNNNNNNNNNNNNNNNNNNNNNNNNNCAAUCUACUCGAGUUUUCCCCAUCAAAGCGGAUAGGAUUUAGGCGGGUACCCGCGAGUAUCAAUUUUAUUGCCAUGCCUAUUAGUGAGAUUUGUUGAAUGAGCGUGUUCUUUGUGUUUUCAAAUAAAAGUCUCACAAAAUUCAUUCCAUGAAAGAGUCCAUUAAAAUCGAUAGAUUUUUGAAUAUCAAGAGACAUUUUAGAAAUCUUGAGAAAUUUUAAUUAAAUACCAGCAGAUUUUGAUGCCCUGAAAAAAAUCGUAAUGGUCGUGAUUUUUUUUUAUUGAGGAGAAAAUAAAAAUACAACAAGACAAACUUACGAGGACGCAGCCUCAAACAUCUGUUGCAUUUGCAAGCAGCACAUGCGCUAUUUGCGGAGGCGAAGAAGUCCAUAACUUAAGAUUAACGUCUGACUGAGCACCAUAUUUAGCCAACCAAUCAACACAUUCAUUCCCUUCUAAAAGAGUAUGAGAGAACGAUAAAGACCAAUUACGCGUUCGGAAGAUACGAUUCUGACAAAGAACAAUUGCGUGAGUGUGAAAAUUAUUGUUAUCUUCAAAGAUGAGAUCAAUAGCUGAUUUAGAAUCAGAUUCCAAGGUAAUUGUACUGUAGCAUAAGCCCCAAAGGCAAUUGAAGCCCUUUGAGAAUAGCAUAAAGCUCUACCAAAAGGUUAGAAGCACGACCACAAGAACUAGAUAAACUAUGCAUCCAUUCGCCAAUAUCAUUGCGAAUAAGACCACCAAAACCAGUACGACCCGGAUUUCCGAAAAAGCUACCAUCCAUGUUCAACUUCAAACAUGGAGCCGUUGGUCUAAUUGUCAUGAUUUAAUACCUCAAGAUUUUUUUAGAUUUUAUAAAAGUCUUGAUUAAAUACCACAAGAUUGUUUUAUCAUAAAAAAAUCUUCUAAAAUCAUUUGAAAUUUUAAUCCAAUACUGACCACUCUUUUUUAUGACUAAAAUAAUGACUUAAUUGAUAGCGGUUUGAGAAAAACAACGAAAAAUAAAAAUAUAACCUGAAUUGAACUGACUUCAAUUAUGUCAUUGUUUUAACAGUAAAGACUAGGAGAAUUGUGAAUUUUAUUUUGAACAAUAUUGUAAACCGUCGUUAAAAUAUAUGAUAAUUUUAAACACUAGUCCAUGAUGGAGCACCUAUGAAAAAGUUCCACCGUAGCACUAGCCUAUUUAUAAGAUAUGUACCUUUUAUACACUUUAUGCUCGGAUUAACUUUCAUUUUAAUUUACCGUAAAAAAAACAAACUUUCAUUUUAAUUCAAUCUAUACUGUUUUUUUAAAAAAUAAAUUAUAUACCAAGUAAACAAAGUAAAAGGUCUAAAAAAUUAAUUUUUUUUCCUGCAAAAACAAAUGAAAAUUUAGCAACCAAGUUGAAUCCAACGAGUGAAAUCAAGUUAUUCGUAAAUUUUAAACAAGUUGAACUCGAGCUAAAAAUAUGUUCAUAACGAAUUCGUUCGAGCCGUAUUUUGAGUUGAACCAAUUAUUAUUGAAUCGAGCUUAGACGAGUUUGAUUUAACUCGACUCAUUUUCAAUUCUAGGAGAUGGACACAAUAAAUGCUAGCCAUUAUUAUAUAUAUAAUCUAAUAGUGGAAAUAAAAAAACACAACUAUUAUAAGAAAACACCGUAACAAAAUACUCUAAAAUAAGGUAAGUUUGCAAAAAUAAAAUAAAGAAGUUCAUGAAAAAAUACAACCAUUCAUACCAGAAAACAGUGAAUAUUGCUAUGAUUGAAUAUGAAAUUCAAAAAAUUUGUGAAAAAAAGUGUGUGGGUCGUUCCCAACAAAGUAAUAACAAUUUAAAAUUUUAAUACAUGACAAAAUCACCAACCAAUGUUUCUGAUUGGAUUUUCAAAAUAAAUUCUCUCGGUCAAUAUAUAUAAAAGAAAUAGAGAUGGAUGAAAGAAGUCAUAACAAAUUGGGAAGAGUGAUUAAAUAAUUGGUGAGAUGCAAUUUUUGGUGAUGAUUUUGUGAAAAAUGUCAGCAAAUCGUAAUUGUUAUAAUUGGUGAGAUACAAUUUUUGGUGAUGAUUUUGGGAAGAAUGAUUAAAUAAAAUGUCAAAUUUGCUAAUCAUAAUUUAAACUACGCACAUUUUCGUAAAAAUAAUUUUUAUUUUUUAGAGUUUAUCUCGAUGUGUUUUUUCUUAAUAGCUGUGUUUUGUCUUUUCACCGUAUGAUCAAAUUCAAAGGAUAUGAUUUAUUGUUGAGAAAGAUUGAAAUAAGAGUUGAUUAAGAUGAUCCAAAUCCUAAUUGAAGUGACACGAAGAAGGAAUGAAAAGUACGCAGAAAGUUAAGAAAAUUGGAGUUUAUUGAGAAAUAAAAUACUCUUAUAUUAUUAAUGUAAAAUAUUUAUUUUUGCAAAUAACAUGAUAUAAUGAUGUGGAUAUUAUGAAAAUCUUAAUAUAUUAAUUAGUUGACAUUAAUUGAAAAAAGUAAAAUAAAAUUCAAAUAUCUGAUUUUAAACUUUUUUAAAAUUUAUUUAAAGACCUAUUUAAAAUUCUCAAAUAGUUCAUCAACUUUAUAUUAGUUAAACCUUGUACUUAUAUAAAGUAUCAUUUCAUUUGUUCUUAUCGUUGUUAAAGAAACAUACUGAAUUUGUACAUAUGUCGAAAGAAGGAAAGAAAAACACAUAAAUCACACACAUAAUAAGUCAAAAGAAAAAAACAAACACAAUGUACCAAAAAAAGAAAAAAACAAACACAACAUGCCAAUAACAAAGCAAACAUGUGAUAAUUUAGAAAAAUAACUUUUAUACUUAUAUGUCUAUAUAUAGGGGCCGUCUUUACCAUUUGCAUUCAGUUUAAUGAAGUUGGACUUUCAAUUUUGGGGUUCAAAUAAAUUAUUAUAUGAUAGAUUUCUAAAAAAAAAAAAAAGUGUUUGUUGAGUUUGAACUUGACAUGUGACAUUUAUCCACUUUAAGAAUGAAAUUUAUAGCCACUAUGCAGUUUUCAAAGUUUUAGGUUUGUCUCUAUUGUACCGAUGUCGUGUCAAUUUUGUAUUAGCUCUUGUGAUUGAUGUCAAACUGUUUGACUUGAAAGAGUCAUUAAUACUAGCCGCUUGUUGCAGGGAGUUGUUGAUGACACCUAUUCUGUGUUAACAGUUGAUUUAUUCGUUAUACUUUUCAUCUNNNNNNNNNNUGGUAUUAAAAAUACGUAUGUUUGUUAUAAGAGAAUAUAAAAUUACUCCUAGGAAAAUACUAUUAUGCCAAGGAGGCCGGCUUUGCAUUCUCCUCUAAUAGUGGUGGGCAACAUUUUUUCGAGGCAGUCGGGGAAUUAAAUGUUGCUUAUUAUCACUAUCUCUCUUGUAUAAUCAUCACUUAUCGUUGUAAAAACUAAAAAAAAUAUAGAAUUAAAAUUAAAAAUUCUUGGGAACUUGACUAUCCAAACAAUUUUUUAAAAAUAUUUAUUUCCUGGAUAGUUAUGUCUGGGAAAGUUAUUCCCAACAUUAUGCAGUUCGGUUUUUGGUUUUCUUUAUGUUGUUCCGAAUUUUUGUACGCUAUUGGAUUUUUGGUUUUUUUUUUUUAACUGUUCUAGUUGGUGUUAAUUUUUAUUUUUCUCUGCUUAUACACAAUAUUAAAUUCGAGAAACAUUUGCUUGGAUACAAGUAUUUAGGCACAAGCUUUAGGCACCCACGCACAAUUCAAAAUAAUUAAAAAUACAGCAGUGUUGUCUCCAUGAACUUAGGUAAGUUGUUUUCUUGUGAGUAUGUCUAACAGCUAUUAUUUGGGUUUGUGCCGUAAAAGACUUUCUCAUUAAAUCCCCUCAACAAGAAAUUUGAUUUUUGGCGGCGUCUUUUUUUGUUACAAGUCAUUGGCAAAAAAAAAAUGUAGUUUUUGCCAAUGACUUGUAACAAAAAAAGGCGCUGCCAAAAAUCAAGUAAUCUAACCAGAAACAAAGGCCUUUUUGAUGAUGCUUAAUUCUCUGGUGACAUCCACUAUAUUCAUUCUUUCUUUUGGCGAUUCCAUUGAACAAAAAGGUCCAAUCCGAAAAAGUGAAACUAAACACUUUUCUACAAUUGGAGUGAAAUUCCCAAUGUUUCCAUCUUUCCUUGUUACUUCUUCAUUUCUUGGUAGAAGAUGCCGGUCAACAAUCUGUAGAAGAUUAUCAUGAAAUGCUGUUUCAACAAACACGUGUAGAUUUUGACCAUCUUCGAACAUUUCAUCCGUUGGUCUUCUUCUGGUAAGCAUUUCCAGCAUAAGCACCCCGAAGCUAUACAUGUCACCAUAUGUAGAUAUUUUAGAACCCAUUCCAUACUCUACAAGAUAAAGGAAAAACAAUUAAUAUUCUGUAACUUGUUAAACAUCAGACAUAAACUAAAAGAUAGGAGAAUUCAAUGAAACAUUGAGUGAUCUAAGAGUCUAAAAAAUACCUGGAGGAGCAUAGCCAAUAGUCCCUUUAUCUCCAAUUGUACUAAUUUCCUGGUGAGAGGUGUCGUCAAUAAUUGAGAAAAGUCUUGCUAUGCCAAAAUCACUCACACGAGCAACCAUAUCAUCUUCAAGAAGGACAUUGCUUGGCUUUAGAUCACAAUGAAUGACCAAUUGCUCACAUUCACGAUGAAGGUAAUGAACUACAGAAGCAAUGUCGAUGGUGAUAUUCAAUCUUUGAUCUAGGUCUAACGUUCUCUGAUUCCUCGCAUUCACUAUCCCUGAAUGUAGCCAUUGUUCUAAGCUUCCAUUGCUCAUGUAUUCAAACACUAAUGCCUUAAAUUCUUGACCUCUGUAAUCUGUACUUGAACAUGUCAAAAUUUUCACCAAAUUUCGAUGUCUCAUAUUUUUAAGUACAUGUUUUGAACCGAAUAUUAUUAUCGAAUCGAGCUUAGGCGACUUCUACCUAAUUCGACUCAUUUUCAAUUUUAAGAGAUGCGGAUAAUUUGAGUGAUGGAACUAAGAAAGAAAAAUAUUCGGAAAGCUAAGAAAAUUGGAGUUUAUUGAGAAAAGUAUCAUAUAAAAUAUGCUGUUAAAUUUGUCUCGACGAGUAUUUUAAUAAUAUAAAAUUUUCAUAAUUUUUUAUAAAAAAUAAUUAAAAAUAUUAGUGAUCAAAAUUGUGUCGACAUAUGUGCAUAAAUCUAAAAAGACAAAUACUCCUCUAGUCUUGAAUGUAAGCAACAAAAAAAAAAAUCCUUUAAGAAAAUGAAGUAAAUGAUUAGAUAAAGUACUUUAUCCGGACACAAAUAUAAACAAAAUUGCAUUUUUUAGAUUAGAUACAUCUGUUAUUCAAUAAAUCUAAAAAGUACAUUUUUGCUUAUAUUUGUGUUGAGGGGGAGUAUGUCAUUUUUAAUUUUACCCUUACUUUUUGUUUUAAAUUAAAUUACUAUUUAUUAUGGGUAAAACUAGAAUGUUGAUGAUAAACUUAAUAUAGUUUUUGCUAGACUUCCAAUUUUUUUUAUUUGUUGCCUAUGAGAUCGGAGGGAGUAUCCCUCCGUGUCAAAAGACAAAUAAAAUGGAAUUGAGUGGGUAACAUUUCCUAGGCCAUAGUGCACCGCGUUAUUUAUUGAACUUUGAAGAGUUGAAGGAAGAGACAGAUGGAGGAGCCCUUGUUGAAAACGCGAGACACCGCAAGGCAUAGCAGUGCGUUUCGUGGCAAACGCGAGGCAUUUAAAGUCGAUUGCGAGGCGUUUUAGUAGCGCGCUAGGCGUAGAAAGCGCGCGAGGCGUAACAGUGCGUUCAAGGCGAACAUGCAAUGUUUGGGUAAGAUCGCGGGACGUUUAUGUUGAACGCGAGGCGUUUAAAGGCUAAUCUGAGGCAUUUUGGUGGUAUCUAUAAGAGGGAGGGAGUCACUUGUAAUUUUUUGUCUAGAGCCUCAAUCUCUGCAUCACCACUCAAAUUCCUUGGUGUAUUAUCAACUUGUACUCUAUUCUUUGCUCACUAAUUCCAUUCCACAACCACUACAUUAAGGUGUCUGUGAUUUAAUUUGACAAGAUAUUAGCAUGAAUGCAUGUUGCAUAUUAGGUUCAAUGUGAAUGUGAGGUUAGUUUGUAUUAUAUUGUACACUCUAAGUGCUUGACAAAAUGUCUGAGUGAAAUGUGUGAUUGAUUAUUGAUUAGUUUCCAUGUGAUUUAUGUUGCCAUACCAUAGGUGUUAGAGUGAAAUGUGUGAUUUAAUUUGACAAUAUCUUUUUUGCUCCCACAGAUAGAAAACUUGAAUGGAAGAGUAGACAGAAGGACUUCAGAAAGCGCAUCUUUUACACAUGUAGUAAGGUAUGUUGAUGAGUAAAAUUGUUCCUUAUUUGGUUUAGGAAGAAAAGCAAACCGACCAUAAAAUUGAAUUGAACUGUUAAUGGUUCGUCCGGAAUCGAACUGGUAUAUAGGUUCGGUACACCAAUUUUUUGGUUCCAAACCAGAAUUACCUCUAAAGAAAACGAAUUGUGCUUUUUCGAACUGAACCGUACCAAACUGAUAUUAUUAAUUGAUAAUUAGGACCGUUUAAAAACCAAAAACCGAAUAUAACGGUUAAACCGAACCACACCAAAAAGAACUGAAUUCUGACAUAGUUCACGAACUGGUUCUAUUCGUGAACUAUCAACCGCAGUUUGAUUUUCUUCGAUGAAGCUCAGUUUGGUAUUAAAGUUCUAUUUGGUUUUUUCUUUUUUCUAACUGUACUAAUUGAUGUUAUUGUUUUCUUUUGGAUGGCUAUACCAUAUUAAAUCCCUCGGUAUAUUUUACAACAAUGAUUCACUAUCCAGUUAUUCAGCACAAUAGGAAUGAAAUUGUUAUUCCCAUCAAUGGUAUCUUUUAUCAGCUAUUUUAGUCUAUUUUCAUUCUGUUACUUUUUUUAGUUAAUAUGGUUGAUUGAUAAUUUUCCUUUACAAUAUUCCUGUCAGUCCAAUAUGUAGCAGUUUUCGAAAAUGAAAACACAUGCUUUGCAAACACUUGGUAACCAUUUGUAUGCUCAUGCUUCAGCAUUUGUGUUUGUUGUGAACCAACUUACCCAAAAGCUUAAGUUUUUGCAGUAAUAGUAUUACAUCCAUCAAGUAUAUGAUAGAUAUAUAUUAUUACCUGAAUGAUGGAUUUUUUUUUAAUGGCUAGAUUAAGUAUAUCAAACAAUUCUACUAUUAUUAGGAACAAUUGAGGAUCAACUCAACUAUUAUUAGGAAAACAAAGUUCCUUAACUAGUAGUAGCUUUAUUUGCCACAACAGAUAGAAAAAUAGAAUGGAAGAGCUUUCAGAAGGGUUUCAAGAGAGGCAUCUUUUACAUUUGCAAGGUAUGUUGAUGCUAUGAUUAACUUCUUAUUUAAACUUUAUAGCAGCUAUUACAUGAAUGAUUGUGGAUGUAGAUACACUUAUUAUUUAAACUGUAAUGAUUCCUGCAUUCAACUCUAUUUCACCUUUGACUAAUCACGUGUUCGAACACCUGAAAUCAAGAAUAAAUCCAUUAUAUUUUUAUUUUGUAGUUUAGGAAUUUUCAUAUGGAUAGCAAUUUGGCAGCAAAUAUUAAGUUAAUUACAUAACUACUUAAUCAGAUAAUAAGAACAUAAGUUAAUAAAUAUGCAAUUAAGCAUCUAAAAAUAUCAAUCAAUCUCACCGGCGAGAAAGGCCUUUUUGAUUACGCUUAGCUCUCUGGUAACAUCCACUAUAUUCAUUCUUUCUUUUGGUGAUUCCAUUGAACAAGCAAGACCAAUCCCAAAAAGUGUAGCUAAAAACUUUUCUACAAUUGGAGUGAAACUCACAAUCUUUCCAUCUUCUAUUAUCGCUUCUUCAUUUCUUGGUAGAAGAUGUGGGUCCAAAAUCUGUAUUAGAUUAUCAGGAAAUGAAUUUUCAACAAACAUGUGUAGAUUUUGACCAUCUUCAAACAUUUCAUCUGUUGGUUUUCUUCCGGUAAGCAUUUCCAACAUAAGUACCCCGAAGCUAUACAUGUCACCAUAUGUGGAUAUUUCAGAACCCAUUCCAUACUCUANNNNNNNNNNNNNNNNNNNNNNNNNNNNNNNNNNNNNNNNNNNNNNNNNNNNNNNNNNNNNNNNNNNNNNNNNNNNNNNNNNNNNNNNNNNNNNNNNNNNNNNNNNNNAAUAUCAAGUAUAAACAAAAAGUUCAGACAGUUCAAUGAAAUAUUGAGUGAUCUAAGAGUCUACAAAAUACCUGGAGGAGAAUAACCAAUAGUCCCUUUAAUUCCAAUUGUACUAGUUUCCUGGUGAGAGGUAUUGUCAAUGGCCGAGACAAGUCUUGCUAUGCCAAAAUCACUCACAUGAACAACCAUGUCAUCGUCAAGAAGGACAUUGCUUGGCUUUAUAUCACAAUGAAUGAUCGUUUGCUCACAUUCAUGAUGAAGGUAAUGAAUACAGAAGCAAUGUCGAUGGUUAUAUUCAAUCUUUGAUAUAGGUCCAACAUUCUUUGAUUCUCGACAUUCAUUAUCCCCGGAUGUAGCCAUUGUUCUAAGCUUCCAUUUCUCAUGUAUUCAAACACUAAUGCCUUAAAUUCUUGACCUUUGUGAUCUAUACUUGAACAACAUGUCAAAAUUUUCACCAAAUUUCGAUGUCUAAUAUUUUUAAGUACAUUACAUUCUGCAAUGAAACUCUUAUGAGCUCCUUUCUUUUGAAGGUUCAGGACCUUUAUGGCAACAACUUUAUCUUCUGAUGCAAGAUUUCCUUUGUACACAGAACCAAAACCUCCUACUCCAACCAAGUUUGUAGCAGAAAACCCAUCAGUUCCAUUGUGAAGGUCUUGGUAUGAAACCUUGGCUAGCGGGUCAGUUGUUGGUGAAUUAGAAUACUGUUUCUGGUUUCUUUUCCUCAUGCAAUAGAUAGUUAGGAAAAUUGUCAUCGUGAGAAGAAUAGAUACCACACUAACAAUCACUACUAUCAAUUUGAUUUUACGUUGUUUUGAAUGUUUCAGACGUUUAACAGGGCAUGGCUGUAGAUGAAGCUCUGAAAUGCCUCCACAAAGCUUAUUGUUUCCGGUCACAGCUAACCUGCUUAUAUUUCCAAAGACACCAUCUAUUGGUACCUCGCCUUCCAACACGUUGAAAGAAAUAUUCAAGUGUUCUAGCACUGAUAUAUUUUGCAGAACAUUAGGAAUUGGUCCAGACAACCGAUUUCUUGACAAGUCUAUAUAUUGAAGACCUUUUAGUGAAGACAAAGAAGAUGGUAUGGUUCCGUUGAAGGAGUUACCUUGCAAAUAGAGGUAUUCUAAGUCUAUGCAUUCACCGAUGGUUCUAGGAAUGUCUCCAGACAGAUGAUUUUCUGAGACAUCUAGCAUGUUUAUACUUAGUAGCUUACCCACUUCUUUGGGUAAGCUACCACUCAAUGAGUUUUUUGACAAGUUCAAUAAGUUUGUUAAGGAAGAAAGACUAAAGAGCUCUAUGGGUAUGAUUCCUCUAAAAUUGUUUUGUGAAAGGUCUAGGUAUUGUA
This 14570-nucleotide long non-coding RNA is filed under the name Trifolium pratense (red clover). Its description in RNAcentral is "long non-coding RNA (TPRA_LNC012611)". Lineage: Eukaryota; Viridiplantae; Streptophyta; Magnoliopsida; Fabales; Fabaceae. The record is from RNAcentral.